RNAcentral lists this ribosomal RNA (206 nucleotides) under uncultured bacterium. RNAcentral describes it as "partial 16S ribosomal RNA". It matches the Rfam family "Bacterial small subunit ribosomal RNA", at positions 568 to 774 of the family's 1533-position model. The record is from RNAcentral.
CGUGUAGGCGGCCCGGUAAGUCCGCUGUGAAAGUCGGGGGCUCAACCCUCGAACGCCGGUGGAUACUGUCGGGCUCGAGUACGGAAGAGGCGAGUGGAAUUCCUGGUGUAGCGGUGAAAUGCGCAGAUAUCAGGAGGAACACCUAUUGCGAAGGCAGCUCGCUGGGACGUAACUGACGCUGAGACGCGAAAGCGUGGGAGCAAACA